UGGGGAAUAUUGCACAAUGGGGGGAACCCUGAUGCAGCAACGCCGCGUGAAGGAAGACGGUUUUCGGAUUGUAAACUUCUAUCAAUAGGGAAGAAAGAGAUGACGGUACCUAAAUAAGAAGCCCCGGCUAACUACGUGCCAGCAGCCGCGGUAAUACGUAGGGGGCAAGCGUUAUCCGGAAUUACUGGGUGUAAAGGGAGAGUAGGCGGCAUGGUAAGCAAUAUGUGAAAGCCUUGGGCUUAACCUGAGGAUUGCAUAAUGAACUAUCAAGCUAGAGUACAGGAGAGGAAAGCGGAAUUCCUAGUGUAGCGGUGAAAUGCGUAGAUAUUAGGAAGAACACCAGUGGCGAAGGCGGCUUUCUGGACUGAAACUGACGCUGAGGCUCGAAAGCGUGGGGAGCGAACA
Molecule: ribosomal RNA, 405 nt
Filed under: uncultured bacterium
Lineage: Bacteria
Description: bacterial SSU rRNA
Rfam family: Bacterial small subunit ribosomal RNA
Source: RNAcentral